Molecule: long non-coding RNA, 267 nt
Filed under: Elaeis guineensis (African oil palm)
Lineage: Eukaryota; Viridiplantae; Streptophyta; Magnoliopsida; Arecales; Arecaceae
Description: long non-coding RNA (EGUI_LNC052856)
Source: RNAcentral
UGGAGAAGCCUAUAAGCUAAUGUUCAAAGUUCUCUAAGAAAAGUGGAAGGAACUGAAAAAUUGUAAAAGGCUUGUAGAACAAUAUCUAUCACAGUGUAGCAUUAUUAUUUGUAUCGACCUAUUGGCUGAAACCUAUAUGGAAUUUCUAACUAGAUAAUAUAAUAUUAUUUAUAUAUUUCCCUUUUAGAUUGAAUUCAUUAAUCCUCUAAUCUUCAAAUAGUUUUUUUUUUUUUAUAUCAUUUAAACCUAUACUAUCCAUAAUCUAUA